UCUACCCUAACUGAAGGAAGCCAAAAUUUCCUUACUUCAAUUGCUUUUUAGGAACUCAAUGAUGUUUAAUAGAAUGCAAAGUUUGCAAGGAGAAAAUAGAUAAAGGAGGAAAUAAUAAAGAAGUAAGAAAGAAGCAUGAAAAUGGACUAGAUUCCAUUCUGCCAUUGAAAGACGAAUCGUCAACGGUUCACACAUGAGCACCGAGACGAAGGAGCUGCCAAAUGGAAAAGCCCAGAUUCUUGACUGCAUUUUCUUCUAUCACUUGUCUAAAUGAAGCUAAAAGCAUUUUUUACCUCAUGUGUUGAAGAUGAUCCAGGGAUAUAAUUCAUACAGAGCAUUUAGUAAAUAAUACAUUUUAGCUAUUUAUCAUCAUCAUCAUCAUUACAUGGGAGAAGAACGCAACAUCUUUGCUAUUGCACAACAAAGUGAUAAAACCCUUAUGCAGACCAUUUAUUUAUUUCAACUGACUCAAGCAUGCUGCGCCUGACAAACUGAGCUUCCAUGGAUGGGGAAAUGACGCUA
Long non-coding RNA from Choloepus didactylus (southern two-toed sloth), 522 nucleotides. RefSeq lists it as uncharacterized. NCBI's taxonomy places the organism in Eukaryota, Metazoa, Chordata, Mammalia, Pilosa, Megalonychidae. The transcript is spliced from 5 exons. The record is from RefSeq and is a predicted model, not a curated record.